RNAcentral lists this ribosomal RNA (492 nucleotides) under uncultured bacterium. RNAcentral's name for it is "partial 16S ribosomal RNA". It matches the Rfam family "Bacterial small subunit ribosomal RNA", at positions 29 to 507 of the family's 1533-position model. The record is from RNAcentral.
AGUGAACGCUGGCGGUAGGCCUAACACAUGCAAGUCGAACGGCAGCACAGUAAGAGCUUGCUCUUACGGGUGGCGAGUGGCGGACGGGAGAGGAGUACAUCGGAAUCUACUUUUUCGUGGGGGAUAACGUAGGGAAACUUACUCUAAUACCGCAUACGACCUACGGGGGAAAGCAGUGGAUCUUCUGACCUUGCGCGAUUGUAUGAGCCGAUGUCGGAUUAGCUAGUUGGCGGGUGAAAGGCCCACCAAGGCGACGAUCCGUAGCUGGUCUGAGUGGCUGAUCAGCGACACUGGAACUGAGACACGGUCCAGACUCCUACGGGAGGCAGCAGUGGGGAAUAUUGGACAAUGGGCGCAAGCAUGAUCCAGCCAUAGCGCGUGGGUGAAGAAGGCCCUCGGGUUGUAAAGACCUUUUGUUGGGUAAGAACCGCAGCAGGUUAAUACCCAGCUGUUCUGACGGUACCCAAUGAAUAAGCACCGGCUAACUUCGUG